UACGUAGGUGGCGAGCGUUGUCCGGAUUUAUUGGGCGUAAAGGGCGCGCAGGCGGCCUGUUAAGUCUGGUGUGAAAGCUCCCGGCUCACCCGGGAGAGGGCGCUGGAGACUGGCAGGCUGGAGGGAGGCAGAGGCCGGUGGAAUUCCCGGUGUAGCGGUGAAAUGCGCAGAUAUCAGGAGGAACACCAAUGGCGAAGGCAGCUCGCUGGAACGGUACUGACGCUGAGACGCGAAAGCGUGGGGAGCGAACAGG
Molecule: ribosomal RNA, 253 nt
Filed under: uncultured bacterium
Lineage: Bacteria
Description: partial 16S ribosomal RNA
Rfam family: Bacterial small subunit ribosomal RNA
Source: RNAcentral